This 184-nucleotide ribosomal RNA is filed under the name Russula sp. RNAcentral describes it as "partial large subunit ribosomal RNA". Lineage: Eukaryota; Fungi; Basidiomycota; Agaricomycetes; Russulales; Russulaceae. The record is from RNAcentral.
GAUGGGUCAGCAUCGAUUUCGACCCUUGGAUAAUGGUGGGGGAAAGGUGGCACCUUUACCGGUGUGUUAUAGUCCUCUGUCGGAUGUGGGGGUUGGGAUCGAGGAACUCAGCAUGCGCCUUUUGGUGUCGGGGCCUUGGCCCACGUCUACGUGCUUAGGAUGCUGGCAUAAUGGCUUUAAACGA